Molecule: RNA transcript, 2144 nt
Organism: Cottoperca gobio
Lineage: Eukaryota; Metazoa; Chordata; Actinopteri; Perciformes; Bovichtidae
Gene name: N-acetyllactosaminide beta-1,3-N-acetylglucosaminyltransferase 2
Exons: 4
Source: RefSeq, a predicted model, not a curated record
UUGUCUUUAUUCUUCAUAGCUAUGGACAUAAAUGAUGCGCUACAUACCUGCCACGUAGUGACCAGACUAUAACCAAGCCGGAUGAAAACACGACAACAAAAAGUAGACGCCACAAAUUACUGUCUCUUUUAUCUUAGUCGGCUUAAACAACGAAGGCAGUUCACACUCUUGGGCUGUGUGGUAGGUAGGCACGAGAUGAUGCUCUGACUGUGUAGACAAGAACAGAUAAUAACCCUCUCUGGACCAUCACCAAGGAGACCGAAACUCCAGAGGGUUGCCUGCAGUGUUUGCUGUGAGAAAGAAUCUCUCAGGUGUGUGUCCGAUUUGUACACUGGCAAUGGGCAGAUUCUGCAAAUGCAACGGGAGACUGCUGUGCAUGUGCCUGCUGCCUUGCAUGAUGACCGGCCACCUUCUGGUUUAUAUCCUGGUGACCAUAUUGGUCACCAUCUCCUACACUCCCCCGAAAAUAUCAGUCCACUAUAUUGCCUCUGGGAUUUCUGCUAACUCCUCUGUGUUCGCCUCUCACCCACUUGGCCCUUUCUGGAACCUUCGUCUAGUGAACAGUGCACUAUGGAACCAAUUGCAGCAUGCUUGGGACCGUCAGUACAACCCAAUACUGCAAGGAAACAAGACUGGGAUCAUGAGCGCUAAGUUUUUAUCAGAAAUCGAAGAUGAAUGCCUUUCUGACUGCAUGUCACACACAUGUGCAGUCCCUCAUAUGCAUGAUUUAAACAGCAUGCCAGAACAAAUGAGGGCAUUUAUAUGGUCAAUGCACUGCAGGGAGUAUCCUCUCCUUGUCAAUCAACCUGGCAUGUGUAGGAGGAACAAUAGCAGCUUUGGCCCCAUGCUCCUAAUGGCCAUCAAAUCUCAAGUGGGGAAUUUUGAAAACAGACAGGCCAUCCGUGAAACGUGGGGACGCAGUGGUCUGGUGAAGGGGGAAUCAAAUAAGAAGGGCGGAUUAGUUCGUACCGUGUUCCUGCUCGGAAGGCAGGAUUCGAGUACAGGUCCUCACCCUAACCUCCAAAACCUCCUGGAUCUUGAGAACCAGAAAUACGGUGAUAUCCUACAGUGGGAUUUCAGAGACACGUUCUUUAACUUGACCCUAAAGGACUUGCUGUUCUGGCAUUGGCUCCAUCAAUACUGCCCCACAGCCAUCUUCGUGUUCAAAGGGGACGAUGAUGUGUUUGUUCGAACAGGCGCCCUCCUGGAUUACCUGCACAAGCAGUGGGAGAAGCACAACCAGUGGAAAGCCUACACAAACAAGACUGACAUGGAUUUGUUCGUGGGGGAUGUGAUCAAUAACGCAAUGCCAAACCGUGAGCCAUCCACUAAAUACUACAUCCCGGAACGUUUCUACAAAGGCAGGUACCCACCGUACGCCGGUGGUGGAGGGGUGGUGUAUUCCGGCUCACUUGCAUUACGAUUGAAAGAGGUGUCUGAGAAGGUGCGCCUUUUUCCAAUAGACGAUGUGUAUCUGGGCAUGUGCAUGCACAGACUCGGCCUCUUGCCAAGCCAUCACCCGGGUUUUUUAACAUUUGAUCUCCCUGGGACAGACAGGGGAGAUCCCUGUGCUUACAGAUCCGUUCUGCUCGUUCACAGACGGAGUCCCAAGGAGAUGCUGACACUAUGGAAGCAGCUCCAGAGUCCGCCAGGUCGAUGCUGAGGCUCGUUUGCCUACCAAAUAGGACUCAUUGAGUACAGGAUGAAUGCUGCCACCACACUAUACACACUAUGACUACAAGCAGGCGAUACCCUGUGAAGGUCACAUGCAAAUAACCUUUCCUCCCAAGAGUUACGUAACACUGAGGAGGAGACUCAUCUACCUCAAAGGGUACUCAUAUUAUGAGGGUGUUACACAAUAAGGGCGCAUGCAUGCAACUUAUAAAAAUCAAUACAGAAACAAAGGUACAAAAAAGAAGAAGAAAGGAAACUACAAGAACCAUCUUCAUUUACCCUGCUGGCAGACAAAGAGGAGGAGAUGGGAAAUGAAACCCCAGAUGACGAGUCUCUUAAGGGGAACAUGAAAGAUGUUGCAGAAAAACACACACCAAAAAGUGAAGACAGAUAAAACACUGUGUGUGUGUCCACACCUAACAAUUUCCCCUCCUCUUCUCUUCUAUUUAUUGUAUUACAGCCUCUUUAUG